Molecule: ribosomal RNA, 459 nt
Filed under: uncultured bacterium
Lineage: Bacteria
Description: partial 16S ribosomal RNA
Rfam family: Bacterial small subunit ribosomal RNA
Source: RNAcentral
CCUACGGGUGGCAGCAGUGAGGAAUAUUGGUCAAUGGGCGCGAGCCUGAACCAGCCAAGUCGCGUGAGGGAAGACGGUCCUAUGAAUUGUAAACCUCUUUUGUCGGGGAGCAAAAGACGCCACGCGUGGCGUUCCGAGAGUACCCGAAGAAAAAGCAUCGGCUAACUCCGUGCCAGCAGCCGCGGUAAUACGGAGGAUGCGAGCGUUAUCCGGAUGUAUUGGGUUUAAAGGGUGCGCAGGCGGAAGAUCAAGUCAGCGGUAAAAUUGAGAGGCUCAACCUCUUCGAGCCGUUGAAACUGGUUUUCUUGAGUGAGUGAGAAGUAUGCGGAAUGCGUGGUGUAGCGGUGAAAUGCAUAGAUAUCACGCAGAACUCCGAUUGCGAAGGCAGCAUACCGGCGCUCAACUGACGCUCAUGCACGAAAGUGUGGGUAUCGAACAGGAGUAGAUACCCCAGUAGUC